GACGAACGCUGGCGGCGUGCUUAACACAUGCAAGUCGAACGGAAAGGCCUGCUUUCCCUUGUGGAUUGCGGGUACUCGAGUGGCGAACGGGUGCGUAACACGUGAGUGAUCUGCCCCCAACUUGGGUAUAAGCCUGGGAAACUGGGUCUAAUUCCCGAUAGGACUGCAGGGUGGUGCCUGUGGUGGAAAACGAUUUUCUAGUGGUUGGGGAUGAGCUCGCGGCCUAUCAGCUUGUUGGUGGGGUAAUGGCCUACCAAGGCGGCGACGGGUAGCCGGCCUGAGAGGGUGGACGGCCACAUUGGGACUGAGAUACGGCCCAGACUCCUACGGGAGGCAGCAGUGGGGAAUAUUGCACAAUGGGCGGAAGCCUGAUGCAGCGACGCCGCGUGGGGGAUGACGGCCUUCGGGUUGUAAACUCCUUUCGACCGCGAGGAAGCCACCUGGUUGGAAGGGUGGUGACGGUAGUGGUAGAAGAAGCACCGGCUAACUACGUG
RNAcentral lists this ribosomal RNA (494 nucleotides) under uncultured bacterium. Its description in RNAcentral is "partial 16S ribosomal RNA". It matches the Rfam family "Bacterial small subunit ribosomal RNA", at positions 28 to 507 of the family's 1533-position model. The record is from RNAcentral.